UACAGAGGGUGCAAGCGUUAUUCGGAGUUACUGGGCGUAAAGAGCACGUAGGCGGUUUGAUAAGUCCGAUGUGAAAUCCCUGGACUCAAUUCAGGAAGUGCAUUGGAUACUGUCAGACUAGAGUAUGGGAGAGGAGAGCGGAAUUCCUGGUGUAGAGGUGAAAUUCGUAGAUAUCAGGAGGAACAACAGAGGCGAAGGCGGCUCUCUGGACCAUUACUGACGCUGAGGUGCGAAAGCGUGGGGAGCAAACAGG
RNAcentral lists this ribosomal RNA (253 nucleotides) under uncultured bacterium. RNAcentral's name for it is "partial 16S ribosomal RNA". It matches the Rfam family "Bacterial small subunit ribosomal RNA", at positions 524 to 776 of the family's 1533-position model. The record is from RNAcentral.